Molecule: long non-coding RNA, 1455 nt
Organism: Equus quagga
Lineage: Eukaryota; Metazoa; Chordata; Mammalia; Perissodactyla; Equidae
Exons: 6
Source: RefSeq, a predicted model, not a curated record
GGAAUCGUGUGUACGCAGUUCAUUUGGAAGAUGAGAGAAACGCUGAAGGAUCCUGGAGAAUUGGGACAGGGUGUGUAUGGAACAAUUACUACUUUUGUCGAGCUUUCUUUUCAUAGUCAUCAAUGUCUGAAGAAGUUACUUAUGCGGAUAUAAAAUUCUAGGACUCCAAUAAGACAGAAAAUGUCCAGGGCUUUGACCAAUUGGGGAUAAAAGGAAUUUAUAAAAUUCAAGAGGUUAUGUAAAUAUUGGCUGACAUUAUCUCCCUGAAAAAUUGCGUAGCUUGCAAGAUCUUGGAUGAGACAGUUAUAUCCUCUGACUGAUUUGGGAAGCAGACUGGAUUAGACUAAUAAAACAAACCAGAGAGACUGAACCGGUGGUGCAGCAGCUACAUUCACCUGCUCUGCUUCUGGGAUUCGCUGGUUCAGAUCCUAGGCGGGGACCUAUGCGCCAUUUAUCAAGCCAUGCUGUGAUUGAAAUAGUAGGUGCAGGAACAUGGGUCAGAAAGACAAGGCAACUGCAGCUCUCAAGAAGCUUGCAAUGAGAAGAAAGAAUGAGGUUUAAAAGAAACACAAAUGACUUAAAAGAUAGGAUUAUUGUGGGUAUAUAGAUAAUAUAUGUGUUUAUUAUGCUGGCUGCACUGAGCCAAAAAGGAUUAGAUGUGAGAAGUUGGCUAAUCCAGUGAAGAUUGAGAGUACGCUAAUGAGGGAACUACCAGAAGGAAGAAUGCAGUCAGUGCAAUUAUUUUGCCUCAGCUAUUAUCCUGCAAUUAAAGGCAACUCAGGGGGCAUAUAGCUUACGGACUACACCAAUGGAAUAAAGAUGCUAUGCGACUAAAUUUUUGUCUAUCUCCUAACAAUUUACAUUUUCAAACUUUGUUCCUUCUCCUCAUUUUCUGAGUGCAGGUAACCUAAAGUCAUACUUUAUCAUCUAGAUAUAGUCCAGAUAUUUGGUAGAAAUAUAGUGCUUUGGGUGAGAAUACAGAAAACUGAAGCUAAUUGCUCCUGCUUUUCCAGAAAUAAACAAGUUAAAUACCAACCUUAUGGAAAAUCAGAAAAAUUAUAUCUAGGAAUACAUAGAGAAGAUAAUGCACCAUGACCAAUUGUCGUUUAUUCUAGUAACUCAGGUUGAUUUAUAUUUUAGAAAAGAAAUAUGAAAGAGAGAUAAAAUAUAUAUUAUUUCAAUAGAUGUACAAAACACUUGAUAAAAUUGAACUCUUAACCAUUGUAAAAUCUCUCAGAAAACUAGAAGCAGAUUUUCCUAAUCUAAUAAAAAAUGUCAACAUUACAAAGAGAAAAGGAAAAAAAACCCAACAGCAACAACAAAUCCUAAACCUAACAUCAUAUUUCUGGUAAAAGGGUGAAUGUUUUUCUUCUGAGCUCUGGAACGAGAUCAGAGUGGUUUUAUCAAUUAUUUUACUCAACAACCUCUACUACCCAUUGAAGAUCCUAGCAGUGA